UACGGGGGGAGCAAGCGUUGUUCGGAUUUACUGGGCGUAAGGGGCGCGUAGGCGGCGCAACAAGUCACUUGUGAAAUCUCCGGGCUUAACCCGGAGCGGCCAAGUGAUACUGUCGUGCUAGAGUGCGGAAGGGGCUACUGGAAUUCUCGGUGUAGCGGUGAAAUGCGUAGAUAUCGAGAGGAACACCUGCGGCGAAGGCGGGUAGCUGGGCCGACACUGACGCUGAGGCGCGAAAGCCAGGGGAGCGAACGGG
This 253-nucleotide ribosomal RNA is filed under the name uncultured bacterium. RNAcentral describes it as "partial 16S ribosomal RNA". It matches the Rfam family "Bacterial small subunit ribosomal RNA", at positions 524 to 776 of the family's 1533-position model. The record is from RNAcentral.